RNAcentral lists this long non-coding RNA (1286 nucleotides) under Strigops habroptila (Kakapo). Its description in RNAcentral is "lncRNA (ENSSHBG00005004653.1)". The record is from RNAcentral. Lineage: Eukaryota; Metazoa; Chordata; Aves; Psittaciformes; Psittacidae.
UUGGAAGCCAGGACAUUCCAGCUCUAUAUUAUGCCACAGACCAUCUGACCAGAAAGUUUUAAGCAUAAAAUUUAGACUUUAGCAUGCAGAGACGUGACCCUACUUGAAUCUGUGUUAUGCUGCAGAAUAGAAAUGGAGCAACCCUUUUUCUAACUUCAAAAUUUACUUUUCAAAUAGUAUUUCAUCUUUGCGGGAAGAAAACUUUUCUGAGGAUUAAAAAGAUGAAAAUCUGCCCACAGCGCUUUUAACAUCUUUGCAUACACUCUAGAAAAAAAUCUGCAUUUAUUCUUUCGAGUUAUGCUUCAUGUUUGUAAUUAACCUUGGAGAUUCGGAGAUGCUCCAUGAAGUUACAAAAUAGAACAGAAUCAUAAAUACAUGUGUCCAUUAACUCAGGAAAAAUGCAAAGCAAUGAACAGGCUUUGGUCCUUAUUAUCGCUUCUCCUACCAGCAAUAUUGUUUACUUCUCAGCUAUAUCUUCUCCCUGAUUUACCAAGGGGCAUGUACAUAAAAGUAGGAUCUCAUCCCUUAUAUGGAGAGCAGUCAGCAAGUACCAGCAUGUUCUGAUGUGAGGAGAACAGCUAUUCCAUAAAUCUGAAACAUGUUCUGGACAACAGCAGAGUUUACACAGACCACAAGAAUUAUAGGAAUUAACUCCUCUUUUGUUUACAAUGUUUAAAAAGAGAGCUAGUGUAGAACCAGCAGUGUAAGGGGAUAACACAGCAGUGACAUGAUCCAACUCAAAGUACUGAAAUACAAACUAUGCACAUUUGGAAAUGUUUUGCACAUUCUAAAUAUAAAAGAAGAUUCUCCUUUUAUGUUUAAGUUCUCCUAAUUAGGAGGAGCUGAUUAAACAACUUAUCUGGAAAGCCAGUAAUGUAAACAAAAGCCUGCUUUCUGGAGCAGAGGUGUCAAGUUUUCUUCUCUUAGAGGGUUAUUUUAAUCCUUUAUGAUUGUUCAUCAACCAAGGUAAACAUGUCAGGCAGGAGAGUUACAAUUCACCACGGAUAAAUGGAUUUUUUCAAGAUCCACACUGAAGCAAGGUCCUUUACACCAUCCAAAUAUCUUUGUUGGGUAUUGGUUCACUGCAUUUAUAGUAGUGCUGUUUCUGUCAUCUUCAUCCCUUCCCAUUCCCUUCCACUCCUCCCCUCCCUUUUUCAUUGCAUUGUUUUUGCCCCUCCAUAAUUAUUCCUAAAUCCAUAACUCCAAUAUGUAUAUACAGAUGGAGCUCCUGAUUCCUUCCUCAUUCCACCAUGGACCAGGGAAAUGAGCAACAGCCCAAGCAAUAU